UACGAAGGGGGCUAGCGUUGUUCGGAAUUACUGGGCGUAAAGGGCGCGUAGGCGGUGUGUCAAGUCAGGCGUGAAAGCCCCGGGCUCAACCUGGGAACCGCGCUUGAGACUGGCACGCUCGAGUUCGGGAGAGGACGGUGGAAUUCCCAGUGUAGAGGUGAAAUUCGUAGAUAUUGGGAAGAACACCGAUGGCGAAGGCAGCCAUCUGGACCGACACUGACGCUGAGGCGCGAAAGCGUGGGGAGCAAACAGG
This 253-nucleotide ribosomal RNA is filed under the name uncultured bacterium. Its description in RNAcentral is "partial 16S ribosomal RNA". It matches the Rfam family "Bacterial small subunit ribosomal RNA", at positions 524 to 776 of the family's 1533-position model. The record is from RNAcentral.